This 435-nucleotide long non-coding RNA is filed under the name Arabidopsis lyrata. RNAcentral's name for it is "long non-coding RNA (ALYR_LNC001826)". Lineage: Eukaryota; Viridiplantae; Streptophyta; Magnoliopsida; Brassicales; Brassicaceae. The record is from RNAcentral.
UUCUCGCCCAUAAUCUUCUCCGUGGUUGGUUCUUGGGUUGAUGACCGCAUCACUGAAGCAAGUCUUCUCCCAUACUUUUUCUCUUUUCUCACUAAAACCCUUAUGGUUUCUUCAAUUUUAUCAACAGCUGACUUCCUUAUCUUGUCUUUGUCUUUUCCCUUUCCAAGUCUUUUUAGAAACCAAUCGAACAUCCUUUCAACUUGAUCUGCAAAUUUCAGAAAUCAAACGUCAAAAACCAAACAAAUCCAGAAUAAACGCCGAGUGUAGCAGCUCAAAAUCCCAACUCAAGCAUAUAUAUAAACACGGAGUACUCUAGUAAUCAGCCCUCUUUAGUCUUCCCUUCUGAGGAUUCACUGGUUUGGCUCCCUAAAACAGGUUCCAAAUUACACUAAGACACGGGUGAUAAAGCAGGAACUUGUAACUGUAUCUAAUGGC